RNAcentral lists this small RNA (1477 nucleotides) under Pan troglodytes (chimpanzee). RNAcentral's name for it is "processed transcript". Lineage: Eukaryota; Metazoa; Chordata; Mammalia; Primates; Hominidae. The record is from RNAcentral.
UGGCCAAGAUUAAAGCAGAUCAGUGCCAUACAAUGAGGAAGAGCGGUACACUCUCAGUGCUGCAAUGCAGGCUUAUUGAACUUACUGUCCUUGACAAGUGUCGUUUAAUGUUCUUUAUUGGGAGUUUUUUGAAGUUUAUGGGCAAGACCAAUGAAGCAGAAGAGUUGUUCUUGAGUGUUGAGGACAUGUUAGUACAGAGCCAGUCCAUGACAGACAUGCUUCUCAAAGUACAGAAUGCUAUUGGAGAACUGUAUCUUGAAACUGGAAUGACUCAGGAAGAGUUCCAGUAUUUCCAGAAAGCAUGGUCAAGCAUGCUGCGUCUUUCACUCAGUGACUUAGAAGACAGCCGGGACUUGGUGAAGCAGAAAGUCAGAGUUUUGAACAAAUCUGGCAAAGUCAGCAUCUGAAGAAUACUUAAAAGAAAACCACAUUUUGGAAUAUGCAACUGAAAUUUCCAACUUACUGGAUAAUAAUCCCCGUGAUCAAGCUACCAUGAAAUACAUCGAAGGUGUUCUAAUGUUCGUUGCUGGAAAUACCUCUCUUGCAAAAAUGAAACUUCGAGAGUGCUUAAAUAUCAGGAAAAGCUUGUUUGGCCAGAAAAACAUGCUGGUUGGAGAAGUUAUGGAAUUUUUAGCGGAUUUGCUAUUUUUUUCCCCAGAGAGAUAGUAAAAAAUUCCAAAGGAAGCAAGUACUUAAAUAUUAUAAACAAGUGAUAAAAAUAAAGGAAAAUGCAGAAACUCUGGCCAAGUCCUCACUCCUCAGGAAGCAACUGAGCAUCAGCCUCAGCGAUACGUUGUGUAAAUUAGCCUUCUGAGAGAAAUUGAGUGGAUCCGGAGCCGGAGAUGUUGGCCUCAAGGUAUGAGCCAGCAACAUUCUGAGGGUUCUAGGAAUGGCUUCUCAUUAUGGAAGCACUUGGUUAAAUUAAACUACCACAGUGCUCAGAGUUCUAAUACAGUGAGCUCUGCAAUGUGCAUGAAUGCAGAUAAAUUACACAGGGCUAGAAGAAUGGACUUGGCACCUCAGACAAUUUCAGAUAAAUCAAAAUGUGCUCCUGGAAAAGGGAAAAAGAAACCCAUUAUUUGCAUAUCUGCCGAGGAAAAGAUACAACGGAAGACACAAAAUAAUGCUGAAAUAUGGAAUGGCUCAGGAAAGGAAGCCUCAAAGAAAAAGACAGACUAUUCCUCUAACAUUUUAUCUUUGGGUAAAAUGAAUGGUUUAAUAAAGCUUUCAAGGCAAAGAAUUUUGUUAGCUAAAAGCGAGAGUGGAGAAGGCGAAAUCACCACCAUUUACCACCAUCCCCUGCCAUGGCCUGUUAGCACAAAAAACCCUGGGGAAUCUGAGUUCAUAUCAGAAAAGUGGCUUUUUCAUAGCCCAGAUUAUAUUUCAAUAUCUCAGAAGUCUUUUUUGCAGAGAAGACUUCACAUUGAAACAAAACUGUUGAAGACCUCAAAUGAUAUUAAUAAAGAAUAAAAAUGUA